UCCCUGGUGGCUCAGUUGGUAAGGAAUCUGCCUGCAACGCAAAAGACCCAGGUUCAAACCCUGGGUGGGGAA
This 72-nucleotide transfer RNA is filed under the name Ovis aries (sheep). It matches the Rfam family "tRNA". Rfam says of the family: Transfer RNA (tRNA) molecules are approximately 80 nucleotides in length. Their secondary structure includes four short double-helical elements and three loops (D, anti-codon, and T loops). The record is from Rfam by way of RNAcentral. Lineage: Eukaryota; Metazoa; Chordata; Mammalia; Artiodactyla; Bovidae.